UUUACGGAGAGUUUGAUCCUGGCUCAGAACGAACGCUGGCGGCGGGCUUAAUACAUGCAAGUCGAACGAGAAAGUCUGGCUUCGGCUGGACGAGUAAAGUGGCGAACGGGUGAGUAACACGUGGGUAAUCUGCCCUCGGGUUCGGGAUAAGCCCUCGAAAGGGGGUCUAAUACCGAAUAAUAUCUUUGGAUGGCAUCUUCCGAAGAUCAAAGAUGGGGCAACCUAUCGCUUGAGGAUGAACCCGCGCUCCAUUAGCUUGUUGGCGGGGUAACGGCCCACCAAGGCUGUGAUGGAUAGCCGGCCUGAGAGGGUGAUCGGCCACACUGGGACUGAGAUACGGCCCAGACUCCUACGGGAGGCAGCAGUAGGGAAUAUUGCGC
Molecule: ribosomal RNA, 380 nt
Filed under: Candidatus Zixiibacteriota bacterium
Lineage: Bacteria; Pseudomonadati; Candidatus Zixiibacteriota
Description: bacterial SSU rRNA
Rfam family: Bacterial small subunit ribosomal RNA
Source: RNAcentral